CAUCACAUUGAAAUACCGGUUGCCAUACAAACACCAAAGUUAAGCAACAUUGAGCCUUGUCAACACCUAGAUGGGUGACUGCCUGGGAAUACCAGGUGCUGUAAG
Molecule: non-coding RNA, 105 nt
Organism: Acanthosepion pharaonis
Lineage: Eukaryota; Metazoa; Mollusca; Cephalopoda; Sepiida; Sepiidae
Source: the annotation of a GenBank genome assembly